This 327-nucleotide ribosomal RNA is filed under the name uncultured Desulfocapsa sp. Its description in RNAcentral is "bacterial SSU rRNA". It matches the Rfam family "Bacterial small subunit ribosomal RNA", at positions 1041 to 1382 of the family's 1533-position model. The record is from RNAcentral. Lineage: Bacteria; Pseudomonadati; Thermodesulfobacteriota; Desulfobulbia; Desulfobulbales; Desulfocapsaceae.
CUGCAUGGCUGUCGUCAGCUCGUGUCGUGAGAUGUUCGGUUAAGUCCGUCAACGAGCGCAACCCCACUGUGUGUUAUACGUGUCACACGGAACUGCCGGUCUUAAACCGGAGGAAGGUGGGGAUGACGUCAAGUCCUCAUGGCCUUUAUGACCAGGGCUACACACGUACUACAAUGGCCGGUACAAAGGGCAGCCACUUAGCGAUAAGGAGCCAAUCCCGUAAAGCCGGUCUCAGUCCGGAUUGGAGUCUGCAACUCGACUCCAUGAAGUUGGAAUCGCUAGUAAUCGCGUAUCAGCAUGACGCGGUCGAAUACGUUCCCGGGCCUU